AUCUUUGCGCUUGGGGCAAUGACCCAGCUAGUGAGGUACUAACCGAGGCGCGUCUAUUGCUGAUUGAAAACUAUAUAUAACAGUGUAUAACAUGUCGUUAUACACUAUUAUACAGAAUGGAUACACU
Nicotiana attenuata is the source of this 127-nucleotide small nuclear RNA. It matches the Rfam family "U4 spliceosomal RNA". Rfam says of the family: U4 small nuclear RNA (U4 snRNA) is a component of the major U2-dependent spliceosome. The structure of U4 snRNA from yeast and human has been reported. The record is from Rfam. NCBI's taxonomy places the organism in Eukaryota, Viridiplantae, Streptophyta, Magnoliopsida, Solanales, Solanaceae.